RNAcentral lists this ribosomal RNA (493 nucleotides) under uncultured bacterium. RNAcentral's name for it is "partial 16S ribosomal RNA". It matches the Rfam family "Bacterial small subunit ribosomal RNA", at positions 30 to 523 of the family's 1533-position model. The record is from RNAcentral.
AUUGAACGCUGGCGGCAUGCCUUACACAUGCAAGUCGAACGGUAACAGGUUAAGCUGACGAGUGGCGAACGGGUGAGUAAUAUAUCGGAACGCGCCCAGUCGUGGGGGAUAACGUAGCGAAAGCUACGCUAAUACCGCAUACGAUCUACGGAUGAAAGCGGGGGAUCGCAAGACCUCGCGCGAUUGGAGCGGCCGAUAUCGGAUUAGGUUGUUGGUGAGGUAAAGGCUCACCAAGCCUGCGAUCUGUAGCUGGUCUGAGAGGACGACCAGCCACACUGGAACUGAGACACGGUCCAGACUCCUACGGGAGGCAGCAGUGGGGAAUUUUGGACAAUGGACGCAAGUCUGAUCCAGCAAUGCCGCGUGCAGGACGAAGGCCUUCGGGUUGUAAACUGCUUUUGUACGGAACGAAACGGCGAGCUCUAAUACAGUUUGCUAAUGACGGUACCGUAAGAAUAAGCACCGGCUAACUACGUGCCAGCCGCCGCGGUAA